This 497-nucleotide ribosomal RNA is filed under the name uncultured bacterium. RNAcentral's name for it is "partial 16S ribosomal RNA". It matches the Rfam family "Bacterial small subunit ribosomal RNA", at positions 28 to 507 of the family's 1533-position model. The record is from RNAcentral.
GAUGAACGCUGGCGGCGUGCCUAAUACAUGCAAGUCGAGCGAACGGACGAGAAGCUUGCUUCUCUGAUGUUAGCGGCGGACGGGUGAGUAACACGUGGAUAACCUACCUAUAAGACUGGGAUAACUUCGGGAAACCGGAGCUAAUACCGGAUAAUAUUUUGAACCGCAUGGUUCAAAAGUGAAAGACGGUCUUGCUGUCACUUAUAGAUGGAUCCGCGCUGCAUUAGCUAGUUGGUAAGGUAACGGCUUACCAAGGCAACGAUGCAUAGCCGACCUGAGAGGGUGAUCGGCAACACUGGAACUGAGACACGGUCCAGACUCCUACGGGAGGCAGCAGUAGGGAAUCUUCCGCAAUGGGCGAAAGCCUGGCGGAGCAACGCCGCGUGAGUGAUGAAGGUCUUCGGAUCGUAAAACUCUGUUAUUAGGGAAGAACAUAUGUGUAAGUAACUGUGCACAUCUUGACGGUACCUAAUCAGAAAGCCACGGCUAACUACGUG